GUUUGGGUGCUAUGUGUCCCAACUAUAAACUGUAUGUCUCAUUGACCAAGUAUGACACACUAUUAUUGCAGCCACAACAAAAAUCUUUCUGAGGUUUUUGGAUCAUAAUUUGAGGUCACAGAUCCCAAUUACUUGCUUAUGGUCAUUGAUGGAGCCUUUGGAUCGCUGGUCGAUUCAAACUGUGGAAGGGGUUUCACAUCAUGCAAUCCAUCCAAGCUCAGUUUGUUCCGAAGAAAGAAUGAACUGCCCCAAAUCGUACAUGGAAGAAUUAAU
This 273-nucleotide unclassified non-coding RNA is filed under the name Hevea brasiliensis (rubber tree). Lineage: Eukaryota; Viridiplantae; Streptophyta; Magnoliopsida; Malpighiales; Euphorbiaceae. The record is from RNAcentral.